AUUGAACGCUGGCGGCAGGCCUAACACAUGCAAGUCGAACGAGUGGCGGACGGGUGAGUAAUGUCUGGGAAACUGCCUGAUGGAGGGGGAUAACUACUGGAAACGGUAGCUAAUACCGCAUACCAUCAGAUGUGCCCAGAUGGGAUUAGCUUGUUGGUGGGGUAACGGCUCACCAAGGCGACGAUCCCUAGCUGGUCUGAGAGGAUGACCGGCCACACUGGAAUGGAGACAGGGUCAAGACUCCUAGGGGAGGAAGCAGUGGGGAAUAUUGCAAAAGGGGCGAAAUCCUGAUGCAGCAAUGCGGCGUGUAUGAAGAAGGCCUUCGGGUUGUAAAGUACUUUCAGCGGGGAGGCGUUACCCGCAGAAGAAGCACCGGCUAACUCCGUGCCAGCCGCCGCGGUAAUAC
Molecule: ribosomal RNA, 406 nt
Filed under: uncultured bacterium
Lineage: Bacteria
Description: partial 16S ribosomal RNA
Rfam family: Bacterial small subunit ribosomal RNA
Source: RNAcentral